UACGGGGGGGGCAAGCGUUGUUCGGAAUUACUGGGCGUAAAGGGCGCGUAGGCGGCCUUCUAAGUCAGACGUGGAAUCCCCGGCUUAACCUGGGAACUGCGUCUGAUACUGGGAGGCUUGAGUAUGGGAGAGGGAUGUAGAAUUCCAGGUGUAGCGGUGAAAUGCGUAGAUAUCUGGAGGAAUACCGGUGGCGAAGGCGGCAUCCUGGACCAUAACUGACGCUGAGGCGGCGAAAGCUGAGGGGAGCAAACGGG
RNAcentral lists this ribosomal RNA (254 nucleotides) under uncultured bacterium. Its description in RNAcentral is "partial 16S ribosomal RNA". It matches the Rfam family "Bacterial small subunit ribosomal RNA", at positions 524 to 776 of the family's 1533-position model. The record is from RNAcentral.